AGCGUAUACUAAAAUUGUUGCGGUUAAAAAGCUCGUAGUUGCAUUUGUGCUGCGCGCUGUCGGUGCACCGCAUCCGCGGUGAUACUGACACGUUUGCGGAGCAUAUCGUCGGUGAGCCGGCGGUCAAACGCCGGUUCAAUAUCAAAAUCCUAUCGCGAUGCUCUUCAGUGAGUGUCGAGGUGGGCCGACAAUUUUACUUUGAACAAAUUAGAGUGCUCAAAGCGGGCUCAAAAUGCUGCUUGAAUAUUUCGUGCAUGGAAUAAUAGAAUAUGAUCUCGGUUCUAUUUUGUUGGUUUUCAGAACUCCGAGGUAAUGAUUAAUAGGGAUAACUGGGGGCAUUCGUAUUGCGACGUUAGAGGUGAAAUUCUUGGAUCGUCGCAAGACGAACAUCAGCGAAAGCAUUUGCCAAAGGUGUUUUCAUCAAUCAAGAACGAAAGUUAGAGGUUCGAAGGCGAUUAGAUACCGCCCUAGUUCUAACCGUAAAUAUGUCAUCUAGCGAUCCGCCGACGUUACUACAAUGGCUCGGCGGGCAGCUUCCGGGAAACCAAAGAUUUUGGACUCCGG
This 564-nucleotide ribosomal RNA is filed under the name Epiphyas postvittana. RNAcentral's name for it is "SSU rRNA". It matches the Rfam family "Eukaryotic small subunit ribosomal RNA", at positions 596 to 1117 of the family's 1831-position model. The record is from RNAcentral. RNAcentral also lists the same sequence under 1 other name. Lineage: Eukaryota; Metazoa; Arthropoda; Insecta; Lepidoptera; Tortricidae.